Molecule: ribosomal RNA, 297 nt
Filed under: uncultured bacterium
Lineage: Bacteria
Description: partial 16S ribosomal RNA
Rfam family: Bacterial small subunit ribosomal RNA
Source: RNAcentral
UAUGAACGCUGACAGAAUGCUUAACACAUGCAAGUCGACUCGAGUCUUCGGACUUGGGUGGCGCACGGGUGAGUAGCGCGUAAAGAACUUGCCUCUUAGACCGGGACAACAUCUGGAAACGGAUGCUAAUACCGGAUAUUAUGGUUUUUUCGCAUGGGGAAGUCAUGAAAGCUAGAUGCGCUAAGAGAGAGCUUUGCGUCCCAUUAGCUCGUUGGUGAGGUAACGGCCCACCAAGGCAAUGAUGGGUAGCCGGCCUGAGAGGGUGAACGGCCACAAGGGGACUGAGACACGGCCCAG